AGACUGAGCAAGUGGAGUAGCAGAACCAAGAACCUCUUUCAUAUAUGAGGAAAGACUGCUGCCUUUUCAAGCGAAGGGAAGCUUCUAGGACUGGCUGUCCCCUGCUGAGCUCAGUGGUGUCCACACCCUGGCGCAUCCCUCCUCACUGGCCAGUCUCCUCCCACUGAGGGGCUGGAAUUGUCUGCACACAUUUGGGCCUCCCAGAGUGAUCUGCUUCCUGAGUAAAGAGCUCCUGAUCCUAAUUAUGUGCACAGCCCUUUGAUCAGGAGCCCAGGAGGGACACGUACUUUCUGUUAAAGCUUCUCUUGUCCUCAUCUUUUCUUACCAGAUUACAAACUUUGUUUUCAAGGGGAGGGUUUAAAAAUGGGAUCCUUUAAGCAAAAUCAGGCAGUUUCAUUAUGGAAUAGGUUGUCUGUACUUGUUCUAAUGUUUUGUAGAACACAUGUGCCUGUUUAAAUGUAUUGAUGUGGAUAAUAUUAAAUAUCUUAAUUAUUUAAAUAAUUCAUUGUAUUGUUUCUGAGAAGUUGGGAAAUUACUGUAUACAUUUACAACUUAAUGACUUUUGUAUUUUAUUUUUCAAAAUAAAAGCUUUAAAUGUGAAGCAUUCUGGUA
Molecule: long non-coding RNA, 612 nt
Organism: Carlito syrichta (Philippine tarsier)
Lineage: Eukaryota; Metazoa; Chordata; Mammalia; Primates; Tarsiidae
Exons: 2
Source: RefSeq, a predicted model, not a curated record